CUAGAUCCAGCCCUUGAUGGUUCCCCCUUGGGGAGAAUAGGGAAGACGGUGCGCCCAUGGGCAAGUCCGUCGCUGCCCCCGCAACUGUAGGUGGCUGUUUUCCGGCCCGCCCCCAAAACGGGGCUGGCAGCGUCACUGGUUGCCGCCGCAGGGCGGCACCGGGAAGGCCGCCGGAAAAGGGAGGGUUCACCCUCCGCCACAAGCCAGGAGACCUGCCAUCCUUCCCGCCGCCCC
RNAcentral lists this non-coding RNA (234 nucleotides) under Gluconacetobacter sp. Lineage: Bacteria; Pseudomonadati; Pseudomonadota; Alphaproteobacteria; Acetobacterales; Acetobacteraceae. The record is from RNAcentral.